Molecule: long non-coding RNA, 596 nt
Organism: Syngnathus typhle (broad-nosed pipefish)
Lineage: Eukaryota; Metazoa; Chordata; Actinopteri; Syngnathiformes; Syngnathidae
Exons: 2
Source: RefSeq, a predicted model, not a curated record
UCCGUUGACAAAAGCCCGUCUUAUGCAAUUUUCACCUGUUGUUCUUUUAGUGUCACACUAAGCGGUCUGCACAUUUACCCUGCUUUAGCUGUGAUCUAUUAUUUAGAGGCAAAAAUUAGCGCGAAUGCGCCAAGCUCAAAGAGAGCCGGCUCAACAUGGAAAGGAACCGAUCAGCGUCCCUUCGGCAAGAACGCAUCCCAGACGAGAGCUGGCGGCGAAAUGAAGUCAAGUUAAGCGAGAAAGAAAGAGCUAAAGAGGCUCGGGGGACGCUGAAUCGGAGCGACCUAAUUUGUCUGACGUCUGUGCGAAGACGCAACUUUAGCGUUUUGAUCGCACCUCCAGCCACUGAGCUAAGCGACUAAUCCUUGAUUUGCAGCUUUUUUUACGCCGAGAUGCAUGGCUAAGAGUUGUUUUUGUACUCAGAGAGACGGAAUGAGACCAGACAAGAUGAGUCCAGGUGGCAGCGUUACCGUAAAUGGCAUCCCGUCACAGCUUGGCUUUAAGUAGAGGUGGAGAAAGUACUCACACGCUGUACUUAAGAAAAACAAGUAGUAUGAUGGCUCUACUGAAAUAAAAGUAUAAAAGGCAGACACAAA